This 429-nucleotide ribosomal RNA is filed under the name Acidobacteriota bacterium. Its description in RNAcentral is "Acidobacteria bacterium partial 16S ribosomal RNA". It matches the Rfam family "Bacterial small subunit ribosomal RNA", at positions 355 to 776 of the family's 1533-position model. Lineage: Bacteria; Pseudomonadati; Acidobacteriota. The record is from RNAcentral.
UGGGGAAUUUUGGACAAUGGGGGAAACCCUGAUCCAGCCAUCCCGCGUGCGCGAUGAAGGCCUUCGGGUUGUAAAGCACUUUUGGCAGGAAAGAAACGUCAUGGGUUAAUACCCCGUGAAACUGACGGUACCUGCAGAAUAAGCACCGGCUAACUACGUGCCAGCAGCCGCGGUAAUACGUAGGGUGCAAGCGUUAAUCGGAAUUACCUGGCGUAAAGCGUGCGCAGGCGGUUCGGAAAGAAAGAUGUGAAAUCCCAGAGCUCAACUUUGGAACUGCAUUUUUAACUACCGGUCUAGAGUGUUUCAGGGGGAGGUGGAAGUCCGCGUGUAGCAGUGAAAUGCGUAGAUAUGCGGAGGAACACCGAUGGCGAAGGCAGCCUCCUGGGAUAACACUGCCGCUCAUGCACGAAAGCGUGGGGAGCAAACAGG